Molecule: transfer RNA, 77 nt
Filed under: Acidovorax soli
Lineage: Bacteria; Pseudomonadati; Pseudomonadota; Betaproteobacteria; Burkholderiales; Comamonadaceae
Description: tRNA-Leu
Source: RNAcentral
GCCCCGGUGACGGAACUGGCAUACGUGUCUGCCUUAGAAGCGGAAUUCUGGGAGUUCGGCUCUCCCCUGGGGCACCA